Molecule: ribosomal RNA, 400 nt
Filed under: uncultured bacterium
Lineage: Bacteria
Description: bacterial SSU rRNA
Rfam family: Bacterial small subunit ribosomal RNA
Source: RNAcentral
GAAUAUUGGACAAUGGGCGCAAGCCUGAUCCAGCAAUGCCGCGUGAGUGAGGAAGGCCUUAGGGUUGUAAAGCUCUUUCACCCGCGACGAUGAUGACGGUAGCGGGAGAAGAAGCCCCGGCUAACUUCGUGCCAGCAGCCGCGGGAAUACGAAGGGGGCGAGCGUUGUUCGGAUUUACUGGGCGUAAAGGGCGCGCAGGCGGCAGAUCAAGUCAGGCGUGAAAGCCCCGGGCUUAACCUGGGAGGUGCGUCUGGGACUGAUUUGCUAGAGUUCGGGAGAGGAGCGUGGAAUUCCCAGUGUAGAGGUGAAAUUCGUAGAUAUUGGGAAGAACACCGGUGGCGAAGGCGGCGCUCUGGACCGAGACUGACGCUGAGGCGCGAAAGCGUGGGGAGCAAACAGG